This 400-nucleotide ribosomal RNA is filed under the name uncultured bacterium. Its description in RNAcentral is "bacterial SSU rRNA". It matches the Rfam family "Bacterial small subunit ribosomal RNA", at positions 355 to 772 of the family's 1533-position model. The record is from RNAcentral.
UGAGGAAUAUUGGACAAUGGGCGCAAGCCUGAUCCAGCAAUACCGCGUGAGUGAAGAAGGCCUUCGGGUUGUAAAGCUCUUUCAGUAGGGAAAAUUAUGAUGGUACCUACAGAAGAAGUCCCGGCUAACUCCGUGCCAGCAGCCGCGGUAAUACGGAGGGGACUAGCGUUGUUCGGAAUUACUGGGCGUAAAGAGCAUGUAGGCGGUUUAAUUAGUUAGAAGUGAAAGCCCGGGGCUCAACCUCGGAACUGCUUCUAAAACUGUUAAGCUAGAGUGCGGAAGAGGAUAGUGGAAUUCCUAGUGUAGAGGUGAAAUUCUUAGAUAUUAGGAGGAACACCAGUGGCGAAAGCGACUAUCUGGGACGCAACUGACGCUGAGAUGCGAAAGCAUGGGGAGCAAA